UCAAGUUGCUAUAGCUCCUAGGCCUUCAUCUUAUUGUGUGGUAUGAAUCGUCAAGUCUAUUAGAUUUGUUGUGGGACUGGGUUUGUAGUCUCUUCUAUAAUUUGGGCUUGUUCUAGUGCUUUUUGAUAGUCAUUAAUCUUUAGAACUGAGAUUUUAUCCUAGAUCUCCUUACACAGGCCUAUCUAAAAAUUCCAAGCUCUUAGGCUUCCAUUUGCUGCUACGUUGAGCGCGAACCAAGACAACUCUAUGACCUUUUUUAACAUAUUUUGCCACU
Molecule: long non-coding RNA, 274 nt
Filed under: Carica papaya (papaya)
Lineage: Eukaryota; Viridiplantae; Streptophyta; Magnoliopsida; Brassicales; Caricaceae
Description: long non-coding RNA (CPAP_LNC012464)
Source: RNAcentral